GCCCUGGUGGUGGAAAUGGUAGACACGCCAUCUUGAGGGGGUGGUGCCGUAAGGCGUCCCGGUUCGAGUCCGGGCCAGGGCA
Molecule: transfer RNA, 82 nt
Filed under: Gemmatimonadota bacterium
Lineage: Bacteria; Pseudomonadati; Gemmatimonadota
Also listed under: 1 other name
Description: Gemmatimonadetes bacterium tRNA-Leu
Source: RNAcentral